UACGGAAGGCAGCAGUGGGGAAUAUUGCACAAUGGGCGCAAGCCUGAUGCAGCCAUGCCGCGUGUAUGAAGAAGGCCUUCGGGUUGUAAAGUACUUUCAGUCGUGAGGAAGGUGUUAAGGUUAAUAACCUUAGUAAUUGACGUUAGCGACAGAAGAAGCACCGGCUAACUCCGUGCCAGCAGCCGCGGUAAUACGGAGGGUGCGAGCGUUAAUCGGAAUUACUGGGCGUAAAGGGCACGCAGGCGGUUAAUUAAGUUGGAUGUGAAAUCCCCGGGCUUAACCUGGGAAUGGCAUUCAAGACUGGUUAGCUAGAGUCUUGUAGAGGGGGGUAGAAUUCCAUGUGUAGCGGUGAAAUGCGUAGAGAUGUGGAGGAAUACCGGUGGCGAAGGCGGCCCCUGGACAAAGACUGACGCUCAUGUGCGAAAGCGUGGGGAGCGAAACAGGGAUUAGAUACC
RNAcentral lists this ribosomal RNA (455 nucleotides) under uncultured bacterium. RNAcentral describes it as "bacterial SSU rRNA". It matches the Rfam family "Bacterial small subunit ribosomal RNA", at positions 340 to 786 of the family's 1533-position model. The record is from RNAcentral.